CCUACGGGUGGCAGCAGUGGGGAAUAUUGCGCAAUGGGCGAAAGCCUGACGCAGCGACGCCGCGUGAGGGAUGAAUGUCUUCGGAUCGUAAACCUCUGUCAGCAGGGAAGAACGGUCACUGUGCUAAUCAGCAGUGAAUUGACGGUACCUGCAAAGGCAGCACCGGCUAACUCCGUGCCAGCAGCCGCGGGAAUACGGAGGGUGCGAGCGUUAAUCGGAAUUACUGGGCGUAAAGCGCUCGUAGGUGGUAUGUCAAGUCAAGGGUGAAAGCCCCGCGCUCAACGUGGGAACUGCCUUUGAAACUGGCAAACUGGAGUGUGUGAGAGGAUAGUGGAAUUCCAGGUGUAGGAGUGAAAUCCGUAGAUAUCUGGAGGAACAUCAGUGGCGAAGGCGACUAUCUGGCACAUAACUGACGCUGAGGAGCGAAAGCGUGGGUAGCAAACAGGAUUAGAUACCCGGGUAGUC
Molecule: ribosomal RNA, 465 nt
Filed under: uncultured bacterium
Lineage: Bacteria
Description: partial 16S ribosomal RNA
Rfam family: Bacterial small subunit ribosomal RNA
Source: RNAcentral